RNAcentral lists this ribosomal RNA (253 nucleotides) under uncultured bacterium. RNAcentral describes it as "partial 16S ribosomal RNA". It matches the Rfam family "Bacterial small subunit ribosomal RNA", at positions 524 to 776 of the family's 1533-position model. The record is from RNAcentral.
UACAGAGGGGGCAAGCGUUAUUCGGAAUUAUUGGGCGUAAAGGGCGCGUAGGCGGCCUGGCAAGUGGAAGGUGAAAUCCCUCGGCUUAACCGAGGAACUGCCUCCCAAACUGCUUGGCUUGAGACCAGGAGAGGUGAGUGGAAUUCCCAGUGUAGCGGUGAAAUGCGUAGAUAUUGGGAAGAACACCCGUGGCGAAGGCGGCUCUCUGGGACGGUACUGACGCUGAGACGUGAAAGCGUGGGGAGCGAACAGG